CUGAAGUGAUGAACUUGUUUAUCCAUUCGCUGAGUGCUGCCGGGCCCUGGCAUUGCAGCCUCCUGUGUCUGUUCUUGACUCAGGGGGUACAGCGGCCUGACUCUAUGCUUUUGUCCCCAGUGUUCUAUUGGGGGUAACUGUUGGGGCAGGUGUGCUGAUGCGUGUGUCAAGGGCCCGGUCACAACUAAGACGAGCGUAAACUCCUGAUCAC
Molecule: small nucleolar RNA, 211 nt
Organism: Oncorhynchus kisutch (coho salmon)
Lineage: Eukaryota; Metazoa; Chordata; Actinopteri; Salmoniformes; Salmonidae
Source: Ensembl